UUAUGUCUUAUUUGUUAGAAAAUAGAUAGAAUUGCAUGCAUAGAUUUUAAAACUAAUUUUGAAACAAUGGAUACGAUCUAAGUUAAACUCUUUAACUCCACAUGCAAUAGAUUAGAUCUAAAACUAUCCACGCUCAGAUCUAAGAUAGGCAUAUAAUUUAAAAAAUAAAAUAUUAAGAUCGAAUCUCAAUACCUUACGUGGGUUGAACUAUACCGUAGCCGC
Molecule: long non-coding RNA, 222 nt
Filed under: Elaeis guineensis (African oil palm)
Lineage: Eukaryota; Viridiplantae; Streptophyta; Magnoliopsida; Arecales; Arecaceae
Description: long non-coding RNA (EGUI_LNC012249)
Source: RNAcentral